GCACUUUAUACUGUGAAACUGCGAAUGGCUCAUUAAAUCAGUUAUCGUUUAUUUGAUAGUACCUUGCUACAUGGAUACCUGUGGUAAUUCUAGAGCUAAUACAUGCUAAAAACCCCGACUUCAGGAAGGGGUGUAUUUAUUAGAUAAAAAACCAACGCCCUUCGGGGCUCCUUGGUGAAUCAUAAUAACUUAACGAAUCGCAUGGCCUUGCGCCGGCGAUGGUUCAUUCAAAUUUUUGGCCCUAUCAACUUUCGAUGGUAGGAUAGUGGCCUACCAUGGUGGCAACGGGUAACGGGGAAUUAGGGUUCGAUUCCGGAGAGGGAGCCUGAGAAACGGCUACCACAUCCAAGGAAGGCAGCAGGCGCGCAAAUUACCCAAUCCCGAUACGGGG
RNAcentral lists this ribosomal RNA (391 nucleotides) under fungal sp. FCAS41C. RNAcentral's name for it is "SSU rRNA". It matches the Rfam family "Eukaryotic small subunit ribosomal RNA", at positions 69 to 461 of the family's 1831-position model. Lineage: Eukaryota; Fungi. The record is from RNAcentral.